This is a long non-coding RNA of Callorhinchus milii (elephant shark), 385 nucleotides long. RefSeq lists it as uncharacterized. The transcript is spliced from 3 exons. NCBI's taxonomy places the organism in Eukaryota, Metazoa, Chordata, Chondrichthyes, Chimaeriformes, Callorhinchidae. The record is from RefSeq and is a predicted model, not a curated record.
CCGCCUUUAACCGCAAUGGCAGCUCGGCACCCGCUGCCCUCCACAUCGAACACGCAAACACACGUGCACCAACGAACCUGAAGGUCAGACCAGCGGGAAGCUCAGGGAUUUUGGUGCGGUGGGAGCCGCCAACGGAGCAGGGAGAGACAGUGAGGGGCUACGUGGUCGAUUGGACGGAGGCGGCCAGACACAGCCCCCAGCUCCUAGGCUGGAGACGCCUUCCCAGCACAAUCCAGUCGUUCUACAUCGCAUCGGGACCAGCCAACUCGUCCCAGAGACAUUCAGCACAAGGGAUUCUCAUCAAGCCGAGGAAACGGUACAAUAUCUCAGUGACGGCACUGUAUCCCGCCAGAGAAGGAAGCUCCAGCUGGGCUCAAGGAUAUUC